RNAcentral lists this ribosomal RNA (560 nucleotides) under Symbiodinium sp. Mp. RNAcentral describes it as "partial Eukaryotic small subunit ribosomal RNA". It matches the Rfam family "Eukaryotic small subunit ribosomal RNA", at positions 562 to 1123 of the family's 1831-position model. Lineage: Eukaryota; Dinophyceae; Suessiales; Symbiodiniaceae. The record is from RNAcentral.
UGGUGCCAGCAGCCGCGGUAAUUCCAGCUCCAAUAGCGUAUAUUUAAGUUGUUGCAGUUAAAAAGCUCGUAGUUGGAUUUCUGGUAGGAGUGACCGUUCCGAACUUGAUUGUUCGUGUAUUGUGUUUUCUCCAGCCAUCCUUGUGGAGAACUUUUCUUGCAUUAAUUUGUAGGGAUUGGGACCCGCAUCGUUUACUGUGAAAAAAUUAGAGUGUUUAAAGCAGGCAAUCGCUUGAAUACAUUAGCAUGGAAUAAUAAGAUAGGACUUUGGUACUAUUUUGUUGGUUUGCAUACCAAAUUAAUGAUCAACAGGAACAGUUUGAGGAUAUUCGUAUGAACAUGUCAGAGGUGAAAUUCUUGGAUUUUGAUCAGACGAACUACUGCGAAAGCAUUUAUCAAGGAUGUUUUCAUUAAUCAAGAACGAAAGUUAGGGGAUCGAAGAUGAUUAGAUACCAUCGUAGUCUUAACCAUAAACUAUGCCGACUAGGGAUUGGCGGACGUUGUCUAUAUGACUUCGCCAGCACCUCAUGAGAAAUCAAAGUCUUUGGGUUCCGGGGGGAG